Molecule: ribosomal RNA, 650 nt
Filed under: Terminalia costaricensis
Lineage: Eukaryota; Viridiplantae; Streptophyta; Magnoliopsida; Myrtales; Combretaceae
Description: eukaryotic LSU rRNA
Rfam family: Eukaryotic small subunit ribosomal RNA (bases 1-81)
Source: RNAcentral
GAAGUCCACUGAACCUUAUCAUUUAGAGGAAGGAGAAGUCGUAACAAGGUUUCCGUAGGUGAACCUGCGGAAGGAUCAUUGUCGAUGCCUGCAAAGCAGAACGACCCGCGAACCGUUUUCCAACGACCGGGAUGCCGGGGGGCGUCCAGCCGCUCGGCAGCCCGAAGCUCCGGACGCUGAGCGUGCAACCCACCUCCAGCGGACGGAGCUCCAAAACAAACCCCGGCGCGCGAAGCGCCAAGGUACUCCAACGAAUGGGGCAUGCACCCGUUGUGCUGGGGUUCCAGUACGCUCGGGUCGCUGUUCCGCGUCGCAAAAAGUCUAAACGACUAAGUUGCGCCCGAAGCCUCGGCUAAGGGCACGUCUGCCUGGGUGUCACACAUCGCUCAGCCUCCAAAACCUUCCCCCUCGAAAGUCGGGGCGACGGUCCGGAUGCGGAAGCUGGCCUCCCGCGACCGCGCGCCCCGGAUGGCCCAAACACCUGCUGGGGGAAGCGAAGUGCCGCGGCAUUCGGUGGUCGAUCCAAAGCCCCACGACCAGUGCCGGGGGCGGCCGCAUCCGUCCCCAGCCCGCGACCCUAAACUCUAACCGACGCGACCUCAGGUCAGGCGGGGCUACCCGCUGAGUUUAAGCAUAUCAAUAAGCGGAGG